Long non-coding RNA from Micropterus dolomieu (smallmouth bass), 813 nucleotides. RefSeq lists it as uncharacterized. The record is from RefSeq and is a predicted model, not a curated record. The transcript is spliced from 2 exons. Lineage: Eukaryota; Metazoa; Chordata; Actinopteri; Centrarchiformes; Centrarchidae.
CACCCCUGAAGACCCAUUCUGAGCCAGGAAAAAGCCUGCAUUGUAUGAUUUUCUUUUCUGUUUUAACCUCUAUUAAUGUUUCAUUUGUUGUUGUUGUUCUGGCUGCAGAGAGGAUGAUGCUGGUCAACAGUGAACACCUGAAUGACAACUUGUGAGCCGUCAAGCAGAAAUGAUGACAACACCUGCUCAAAGUUCCAGUUUCCUAUACUUUGUGCCAUGUCUGUAUGAGACUCCCACCUGUCUUCAGUCAUGUCUGGACCCAGUGGACUGUCUGGACGGCUGUUGUAUAAUUAAGAGAGGAUCAUGCAAGUUAACAGAUACCACCUGAUGGACAACAUGUGAUUCCAACUUGUGACAAUACACUUUGAAGUUCCAGUUUCCUGAACAUCAUGUCCGUGUGAAACCCAAUCCCAUGUAGACGCCCUCUUCGGUCAAGCUUGGACUCAUUACCCUUGAUCAACUGGGGUCAAGUGGCACAUUUUUAUCCUUCAUAUACUAUAUGGACACAUGUUGUUUUCCAGGGCCGGCCCUGGCCAAUUUGCUGCCCUAGGCAAGAUUUCACCUGAUGCCCCUGGAUUUUUGUUCAUAAACUUACACAGAACCAAACACAGGUUUGUCUUGUUUUUCUUUAAUUUGAAAAUAUUUUGGAAACACAAACACACAACGUAUUAUAGAUACAAUAUAAAUAUGUAUAUUUUAUAUUAUGUUAUGUUAAACCUUGCUUUCCUUUGCUUUCCUUGCCUUUCUUACAGCAUAUGUAACAUUCCAAAAAGACCAUUGCACAAAAAAUAAAUAACUAUACACAAACUUGAA